This 1143-nucleotide ribosomal RNA is filed under the name Triticum aestivum (bread wheat). Its description in RNAcentral is "partial small subunit ribosomal RNA". The record is from RNAcentral. Lineage: Eukaryota; Viridiplantae; Streptophyta; Magnoliopsida; Poales; Poaceae.
UGUGGCAUGACCGUCCUCGACGACUUGCCUGAGUCGGUCAUCAUCCAAGAGAUACUCGUUAGGUUACCGGUAGAGGACAUCCUCAGGUGUCGUGUUGUCCGCAAGUCGUGGCGUCAUGCCACAACCACCAAGGAGUUCCUCCUCGCGCACCACCACCACCAACCGUCACUCCCAGUCAUUGACCUUAUCAAGAGUGAUGGCCAUGUGUUUGACCAUCAUCUCUCUGUAUUUUUUCACAAUAGUCCUGGUGCCGCAAGUCGCAAGCUCAAUUAUCGGAUCAUACUCCGUUCUCGCAACACCCGUCCCUACGAGGACAACCUAGUGAUCCAUGCUGUAUGUGAUGGGCUCCUUAUAAUCUCCUUCCAUGAUCGUGAGGGACUUUUUGAAAUUUGCAAUGCAAGUACUCACCAACGUGCUCCUCUACCACUGCUCCGUGAACAAGACCUACAAGGUAGAAGGGUUCGCAUUGCCGGAUUAUACCAACAUCGCCCAUCUGGAGGAUAUCAGGUGCUUUACUCAAUCUGGACAAGGAACGUGGAUCUUUUCACUUUCACAGUUGCGUUCUACAUCAUUGCAGUGGGAGCUAACGAACCGAGGCCUAUCGAACAACCGCCAUUGCAACAAGUAUUAAUGGGUGGACUCACAUGUUCUGACAAUACAUCGGUCCUCUACCGUGACAACCUUCAUUGGUUAUUACGACGGCAAUAUAUUAGCAAUGGACCCAGCAACAUAAUGAUAUUCAACACUGCGGCUGAGACAUUUCGGUGGUUGUCCCAUCCUCCCCGACAGUACCCUUGGAUGUCACUGUUGGAGUUGGAAGGAGCGCUUUCUAUGUGCAGUAGUCAUGACGGAAUCAUUAUAGAUAUCUAUGUUAUGCAUGACUACGAAGAUGAGGUAUGGACCCUCAUUUACAGUAUUAACAUGAUGGCAUUGGAGGGAUUGCCGCCACUCAAUUUAAGGGCGAGAACUGUACGGAAGAUUGCUGCACUUAAUGAGUGUGAGAUGCUGAUCGAGUUUCCAGGAUGUGUUCUGCACUGUGACACUGGUGGUAAGUUUCUUGGAAAGAUGGAGUGGAAUGAAGACGAAGACAACCACAUGCAUAUUACUCCAUUUCACUUUCAGGAGAACAUUUGUCAACUUCCU